UCCCCGGGUUCCCCUCAGGGUUCCCGGGGGUGUCAGGGAGCCGAGCGCAGGGGUUGGCGCCGCCUUCUCACCUCAGUCUCUCCCUUUCCUUGCAGGCUCCAGCUGAAGGCGAGGCAAAGGAGGAGCCAAAGAGAAGGUCAGCUAGACUAUCCGCUAAACCUGCUCCGCCUAAACCGGAGCCAAAGCCCAAAAAGGCAGCACCUAAGAAGGAAAAGGCAGCAAAUGAUAA
Molecule: long non-coding RNA, 229 nt
Organism: Egretta garzetta (little egret)
Lineage: Eukaryota; Metazoa; Chordata; Aves; Pelecaniformes; Ardeidae
Exons: 4
Source: RefSeq, a predicted model, not a curated record